Molecule: ribosomal RNA, 819 nt
Filed under: Agabiformius excavatus
Lineage: Eukaryota; Metazoa; Arthropoda; Malacostraca; Isopoda; Porcellionidae
Description: partial 28S ribosomal RNA
Rfam family: Eukaryotic large subunit ribosomal RNA
Source: RNAcentral
UAACACGGACCAAGAAGUCUUCAAUGUGCGCGAGUCAAAGGGCUGUCUAAACCCCAAGGCGAAACGAAAGUAAAGAAAAUUUUUUAUUUUCAUUGGGCUGAUCCGGCUCGGGGUGCGCGGACGGGAUCUUGACGUGGUUCGCCCACUCUCCCGUACUCCCCUCGACUUGCCACCUUAAUAUGUGGACGGCGCAAGCCCGGGGCCCGCGGAGACGUUCCUCUCCGUCAAUGCUCGAGAUUGUCUUUUUUUUCGUCCGUCGCGACGCUUAAACGUUACUCCCAUUAUGAGAACUCCGAGGUACACGCGAUAUUACCCGUGUGUAGGGGCGGUUCUCUUCUUCCUCCUCGUCGUCGUUGGUAGUAGUAGUAGUAUUCCGGCCAGGGGCGGUGGUGGUGGUUGUCGUGGGCGUGUUGCCGGCGGAGACGUCUUCAUCACCUUCAUCGGUGAUGCUGGCGUCUUCGCUUUCGAUGACGUUUGCGGCUGCCUCCUCUUCCUGUUUCUGACGGAUUAUUAUUAUUAUUAUCGGCAUUUGUAGGGCGGCUGGAGGAAAAAAAAACCGCUUUCGGGUAGAGCCUCUGUCCAGAGAGUCGGGAGUAGCAAAGAAAAGCGCCGGCGUGGCGGAAAGAAGCUUUUUCCGCAGGCGCGAGACGGGCGGCGGGUACCUUGAGCGCACAUCGUAGGACCCGAAAGAUGGUGAUCUAUGCAUGACGAGGAUGAAGCCAGGGGAAACCCUGGUGGAGGUCCAAAGCGAUUCUGACGUGCAAAUCGAUCGUCGGAGCUGCGUAUAGGGGCGAAAGACCUAUCGAACCAUCUAGUAGC